AUACGGAGGGUGCAAGCGUUAUCCGGAAUUAUUGGGUUUAAAGGGUCCGUAGGCGGCUAGAUAAGUCAGUGGUGAAAUUCUCUCGCUCAACGAGAGACCUGCCAUUGAUACUGUCUUGGCUAGAGUUACAGUGAGGUGAGUGGAAUGUGUAGUGUAGCGGUGAAAUGCAUAGAUAUUACACAGAACACCGAUUGCGAAGGCAGCUCACUAACUGUAUACUGACGCUGAUGGACGAAAGCGUGGGGAGCAAACAGGAUUAGAAACCCUUGUAGUCC
This 275-nucleotide ribosomal RNA is filed under the name uncultured bacterium. RNAcentral's name for it is "partial 16S ribosomal RNA". It matches the Rfam family "Bacterial small subunit ribosomal RNA", at positions 523 to 796 of the family's 1533-position model. The record is from RNAcentral.